AACUUGAUUUGACUGAACAGGAUGAGC
RNAcentral lists this non-coding RNA (27 nucleotides) under Rattus norvegicus (Norway rat). Lineage: Eukaryota; Metazoa; Chordata; Mammalia; Rodentia; Muridae. The record is from RNAcentral.